This 253-nucleotide ribosomal RNA is filed under the name uncultured bacterium. Its description in RNAcentral is "partial 16S ribosomal RNA". It matches the Rfam family "Bacterial small subunit ribosomal RNA", at positions 524 to 776 of the family's 1533-position model. The record is from RNAcentral.
UACGGAGGGGACUAGCGUUGUUCGGAAUUACUGGGCGUAAAGCGCACGUAGGCGGAUUUGUAAGUCAGGGGUGAAAUCCCGGGGCUCAACCUCGGAACUGCCUUUGAUACUGCAAAUCUCGAGUCCGGAAGAGGUGAGUGGAAUUCCUAGUGUAGAGGUGAAAUUCGUAGAUAUUAGGAAGAACACCGGUGGCGAAGGCGGCUCACUGGCCCGGUACUGACGCUGAGGUGCGAAAGCGUGGGGAGCAAACGGG